This 232-nucleotide ribosomal RNA is filed under the name uncultured bacterium. Its description in RNAcentral is "partial 16S ribosomal RNA". It matches the Rfam family "Bacterial small subunit ribosomal RNA", at positions 1270 to 1500 of the family's 1533-position model. The record is from RNAcentral.
AAUCUCAAAAACCGGUACCCAGUUCGGACUGCAGGCUGCAACUCGCCUACACGAAGUCGGAAUCGCUAGUAAUCGCGGAUCAGCAUGCCGCGGUGAAUACGUUCCCGGGCCUUGUACACACCGCCCGUCACACCAUGGGAGUUUGUAACGCCCAAAGUCGGUGGCCUAACCUUUAUGGAGGGAGCCGCCUAAGGCGGGACAGAUGACUGGGGUGAAGUCGUAACAAGGUAGC